CUGGCUUUCAAUUGUGUAACCGCUCUUUAAGUUGGGAUCCUCUCAGAUUUCUUUAUAAGAAAUCACAUAGAUUAAGUGAAUUGGCAAGAACUAUCACUGUGAGAUCAGAUCUUUCUGGAGCUGCAACCCCUGAAUCUUCUUAUCCGGAACCAGUGCAGAGAUUAAGUUGAGCUCAAGACUCAGAGGGG
Non-coding RNA from Camelina sativa (false flax), 188 nucleotides. The record is from RefSeq and is a predicted model, not a curated record. NCBI's taxonomy places the organism in Eukaryota, Viridiplantae, Streptophyta, Magnoliopsida, Brassicales, Brassicaceae.